This 2568-nucleotide ribosomal RNA is filed under the name Escherichia coli. RNAcentral's name for it is "partial 23S ribosomal RNA". It matches the Rfam family "Bacterial large subunit ribosomal RNA", at positions 396 to 2925 of the family's 2925-position model. The record is from RNAcentral. Lineage: Bacteria; Pseudomonadati; Pseudomonadota; Gammaproteobacteria; Enterobacterales; Enterobacteriaceae.
GCUGUGAGCUCGAUGAGUAGGGCGGGACACGUGGUAUCCUGUCUGAAUAUGGGGGGACCAUCCUCCAAGGCUAAAUACUCCUGACUGACCGAUAGUGAACCAGUACCGUGAGGGAAAGGCGAAAAGAACCCCGGCGAGGGGAGUGAAAAAGAACCUGAAACCGUGUACGUACAAGCAGUGGGAGCACAGAGCAAUCUGUGUGACUGCGUACCUUUUGUAUAAUGGGUCAGCGACUUAUAUUCUGUAGCAAGGUUAACCGAAUAGGGGAGCCGAAGGGAAACCGAGUCUUAACUGGGCGUUAAGUUGCAGGGUAUAGACCCGAAACCCGGUGAUCUAGCCAUGGGCAGGUUGAAGGUUGGGUAACACUAACUGGAGGACCGAACCGACUAAUGUUGAAAAAUUAGCGGAUGACUUGUGGCUGGGGGUGAAAGGCCAAUCAAACCGGGAGAUAGCUGGUUCUCCCCGAAAGCUAUUUAGGUAGCGCCUCGUGAAUUCAUCUCCGGGGGUAGAGCACUGUUUCGGCAAGGGGGUCAUCCCGACUUACCAACCCGAUGCAAACUGCGAAUACCGGAGAAUGUUAUCACGGGAGACACACGGCGGGUGCUAACGUCCGUCGUGAAGAGGGAAACAACCCAGACCGCCAGCUAAGGUCCCAAAGUCAUGGUUAAGUGGGAAACGAUGUGGGAAGGCCCAGACAGCCAGGAUGUUGGCUUAGAAGCAGCCAUCAUUUAAAGAAAGCGUAAUAGCUCACUGGUCGAGUCGGCCUGCGCGGAAGAUGUAACGGGGCUAAACCAUGCACCGAAGCUGCGGCAGCGACACUGUGUGUUGUUGGGUAGGGGAGCGUUCUGUAAGCCUGUGAAGGUGUGCUGUGAGGCAUGCUGGAGGUAUCAGAAGUGCGAAUGCUGACAUAAGUAACGAUAAAGCGGGUGAAAAGCCCGCUCGCCGGAAGACCAAGGGUUCCUGUCCAACGUUAAUCGGGGCAGGGUGAGUCGACCCCUAAGGCGAGGCCGAAAGGCGUAGUCGAUGGGAAACAGGUUAAUAUUCCUGUACUUGGUGUUACUGCGAAGGGGGGACGGAGAAGGCUAUGUUGGCCGGGCGACGGUUGUCCCGGUUUAAGCGUGUAGGCUGGUUUUCCAGGCAAAUCCGGAAAAUCAAGGCUGAGGCGUGAUGACGAGGCACUACGGUGCUGAAGCAACAAAUGCCCUGCUUCCAGGAAAAGCCUCUAAGCAUCAGGUAACAUCAAAUCGUACCCCAAACCGACACAGGUGGUCAGGUAGAGAAUACCAAGGCGCUUGAGAGAACUCGGGUGAAGGAACUAGGCAAAAUGGUGCCGUAACUUCGGGAGAAGGCACGCUGAUAUGUAGGUGAAGUCCCUCGCGGAUGGAGCUGAAAUCAGUCGAAGAUACCAGCUGGCUGCAACUGUUUAUUAAAAACACAGCACUGUGCAAACACGAAAGUGGACGUAUACGGUGUGACGCCUGCCCGGUGCCGGAAGGUUAAUUGAUGGGGUCAGCGCAAGCGAAGCUCUUGAUCGAAGCCCCGGUAAACGGCGGCCGUAACUAUAACGGUCCUAAGGUAGCGAAAUUCCUUGUCGGGUAAGUUCCGACCUGCACGAAUGGCGUAAUGAUGGCCAGGCUGUCUCCACCCGAGACUCAGUGAAAUUGAACUCGCUGUGAAGAUGCAGUGUACCCGCGGCAAGACGGAAAGACCCCGUGAACCUUUACUAUAGCUUGACACUGAACAUUGAGCCUUGAUGUGUAGGAUAGGUGGGAGGCUUUGAAGUGUGGACGCCAGUCUGCAUGGAGCCGACCUUGAAAUACCACCCUUUAAUGUUUGAUGUUCUAACGUGGACCCGUGAUCCGGGUUGCGGACAGUGUCUGGUGGGUAGUUUGACUGGGGCGGUCUCCUCCUAAAGAGUAACGGAGGAGCACGAAGGUUGGCUAAUCCUGGUCGGACAUCAGGAGGUUAGUGCAAUGGCAUAAGCCAGCUUGACUGCGAGCGUGACGGCGCGAGCAGGUGCGAAAGCAGGUCAUAGUGAUCCGGUGGUUCUGAAUGGAAGGGCCAUCGCUCAACGGAUAAAAGGUACUCCGGGGAUAACAGGCUGAUACCGCCCAAGAGUUCAUAUCGACGGCGGUGUUUGGCACCUCGAUGUCGGCUCAUCACAUCCUGGGGCUGAAGUAGGUCCCAAGGGUAUGGCUGUUCGCCAUUUAAAGUGGUACGCGAGCUGGGUUUAGAACGUCGUGAGACAGUUCGGUCCCUAUCUGCCGUGGGCGCUGGAGAACUGAGGGGGGCUGCUCCUAGUACGAGAGGACCGGAGUGGACGCAUCACUGGUGUUCGGGUUGUCAUGCCAAUGGCACUGCCCGGUAGCUAAAUGCGGAAGAGAUAAGUGCUGAAAGCAUCUAAGCACGAAACUUGCCCCGAGAUGAGUUCUCCCUGACCCUUUAAGGGUCCUGAAGGAACGUUGAAGACGACGACGUUGAUAGGCCGGGUGUGUAAGCGCAGCGAUGCGUUGAGCUAACCGGUACUAAUGAACCGUGAGGCUUAACCUUACAACGCCGAAGGUGUUU